Molecule: unclassified non-coding RNA, 350 nt
Filed under: uncultured fungus
Lineage: Eukaryota; Fungi
Description: partial contains small subunit ribosomal RNA, internal transcribed spacer 1, and 5.8S ribosomal RNA
Rfam family: Eukaryotic small subunit ribosomal RNA (bases 1-73)
Source: RNAcentral
UCAAACUUGGUCAUUUAGAGGAAGUAAAAGUCGUAACAAGGUUUCCGUAGGUGAACCUGCGGAAGGAUCAUUAACAAAUCCUUUUUGUAUUUUUAUUGUUUUCUUUCUCUUUACAUUGUUGUUUAUUAUUUCUUUUGUUUUGAACAAAGGAUUAUAAUAGAUUAACAAUUGUGAAUGAACAAGGAACAAUAUAUUAUACAACAUACGUUCCAUGUACAGAUUACAUCAUUUGUGUCUUUUGUACAUGAUAACAUAUUUCUACGAAUUAACUGAUUGUACCAUAUAAUUAAUCAUAAAGAAUGACUUUUAACAAUGGAUCUCUAGGCUCUUGCAUCGAUGAAGAACGCAGC